RNAcentral lists this ribosomal RNA (119 nucleotides) under Beta vulgaris subsp. vulgaris (sugar beet). The record is from RNAcentral. Lineage: Eukaryota; Viridiplantae; Streptophyta; Magnoliopsida; Caryophyllales; Amaranthaceae.
GGGUGCAAUCAUACCAGCACCAAUGUACCGGAUCCCAUCAAAAUUCCGGAGUUAAGCUUGCUUGGGCGAGAGUAGUACUAGUUUGGGUGACCUCUUAGGAAGUCCUCGUAUUACACCCC